This 540-nucleotide ribosomal RNA is filed under the name Klebsiella pneumoniae subsp. pneumoniae. Its description in RNAcentral is "partial 23S ribosomal RNA". It matches the Rfam family "Bacterial large subunit ribosomal RNA", at positions 2238 to 2777 of the family's 2925-position model. Lineage: Bacteria; Pseudomonadati; Pseudomonadota; Gammaproteobacteria; Enterobacterales; Enterobacteriaceae. The record is from RNAcentral.
ACCGGGGUUGCGGACAGUGUCUGGUGGGUAGUUUGACUGGGGCGGUCUCCUCCCAAAGCGUAACGGAGGAGCACGAAGGUUAGCUAAUCCUGGUCGGACAUCAGGAGGUUAGUGCAAUGGCAUAAGCUAGCUUGACUGCGAGCGUGACGGCGCGAGCAGGUGCGAAAGCAGGUCAUAGUGAUCCGGUGGUUCUGAAUGGAAGGGCCAUCGCUCAACGGAUAAAAGGUACUCCGGGGAUAACAGGCUGAUACCGCCCAAGAGUUCAUAUCGACGGCGGUGUUUGGCACCUCGAUGUCGGCUCAUCACAUCCUGGGGCUGAAGUAGGUCCCAAGGGUAUGGCUGUUCGCCAUUUAAAGUGGUACGCGAGCUGGGUUUAGAACGUCGUGAGACAGUUCGGUCCCUAUCUGCCGUGGGCGCUGGAGAAUUGAGGGGGGCUGCUCCUAGUACGAGAGGACCGGAGUGGACGCAUCACUGGUGUUCGGGUUGUCAUGCCAAUGGCACUGCCCGGUAGCUAAAUGCGGAAGAGAUAAGUGCUGAAAG